Molecule: long non-coding RNA, 1341 nt
Filed under: Equus asinus (donkey)
Lineage: Eukaryota; Metazoa; Chordata; Mammalia; Perissodactyla; Equidae
Description: lncRNA (ENSEASG00005024260.1)
Source: RNAcentral
GUUUUUUUUUUUAAACGUUGUAUAAAUAUGUCAAGUUUAUCCAUUUUCCUGUUGAUGAACAUUUUUGUUGUUUCCAAGUUUCUGCUGUUGCUGCAAUGAACAUGUACACGAGGUUCGAUGUAAUUUGGUGGGUUUCACCCUAGGGUAUUGUGUGAAGUUGGCCACUCCAGGAAAUAGAUUUGGAGGUUUGCUUGCAGAAGAUCAUGGGGCGUGCUCUGUGGAACAACACCUGUAAGGGAUUGAAGGAAGCAGGAUUGGGGAGAGAGAGAAGUUAAACCACAAGGCAGUUGAGACAGAAGGGUCAGCUGUGGAGCUGUGCUGAUCCUUCAAGUUGUCCCAAAUUGGGGCAAAGGAGGCUUGGCCUCGUCUGCCUGUGUUGGCUAUGGGCUGCCCCUGAGGAGGCAGUGUGGGUGUGCUUGUCCUGGGCGGGGCAGCACCCUCCAGUAAAGGCUCGUCUCCUCACGUUUGUCAUUUUGUGGGAAUUCUGGACCGCCUCUAUCUGUCCUCCAGAAACGUUCUGCAUCGUCUUCUUCCAGGGAUGGUGGCCUCUAGAUAACACUUUCCCCACCAGCCCUGGCGCUGAGUGGCUUCCCGGUCACUGAUGUCUGGAUGACCUGUUUUCCCUCUUUGGAUCUUUCAGUCCUUUCAAUACUUUCCUAAGAAUCCCCUGAGGUAAAUGCCCCAUCUUGAAAUAUUUUAGCGGUGGUUGUUCCCCUGGCUAGAAAGCGCUGUAACGUUCCUUGAGCUUGCCUCACACUGCAGCCAGAGGAUGGCCGCCGAGGGCUGGGCUUGCCUGGAGACUCUGUGAAGGUGGCACCCCUGCGAGAAGAGAAAACUGGGGCGUUGGCUAAGGAGAGGAAAGCCCUGCUCUCUCGUGAGGGUGGCAAAAAGCUGACAGUGACUGAUGGGCUUUGGCUUUGCAAGCCCCCCCACCAGAGAGGGUCACCUCCUCCAGGAUCCUUCUGAGGCCCUCCAAGAACCUGCACACCCAACCCCGGUUUGUGCCGUGGCACCACACCUCCUUCCCAGAGUGCGUCCUUUCUCCCCCUCCCACCCCAAAUUCCCCCGGCGGGGCAGGAAAGACAUCUUCUCAGUGCCCUGCAGCCCUUGCUGAUGGAGGAGUGGGAGCAGGGCAGGAGGCAAGGGCAUGAUGGGAGCUCCCACAGGCCGGAACUCACCCUCCUGGCCAGCACCCUAAAGUCUUGUUUGCCCAACCAAGUUUCCUCCUCCGCACUGGACACGGAGGACGGGGAGGGAUCCUGUGAGCGCUCAGGAAAAACACAUAAAGAACUGUGUCAGCCUAAAUCAACUCUUAAAUAUUUAAUUCCCAUUUAUUUAAAG